AUGAUGGAGCUACCAGGGAGGCAUUAUUGGGUCUUCAGUGUCAACUUGAGGGACGGACGCUUCGAAGUUCUUGAUUCAAGCAGGACGCUGGACAACAUUGAGCUGAUGAACAACGCCUCUACCAUUGCGGGGGCAGUACGCCAGCUAUGGAGGAAGCAUUAUCCAAAGUUCAUCAUCGAGCACUUCCAGAUUAUUGAAAUUGACGUAUCGAAGCAGCUUGGCAAUAAUGAGUGUGGGUUGUUCGCACUGCUUAACGCCACCGAGUGGAAUGGUAGCCAACUGCCCAACUACGACCCCAAGGAAGUACUCAACAUCAGGAAGAAGCUGACGUAUGAUUGGGUCACCAGCGUGCACAACACCGCCCCAUGGAGGAAGUUGCUGAGAUACGACAAGGAGUAG
This 399-nucleotide ribosomal RNA is filed under the name Triticum aestivum (bread wheat). Its description in RNAcentral is "partial small subunit ribosomal RNA". Lineage: Eukaryota; Viridiplantae; Streptophyta; Magnoliopsida; Poales; Poaceae. The record is from RNAcentral.